This 254-nucleotide ribosomal RNA is filed under the name uncultured prokaryote. RNAcentral's name for it is "partial 16S ribosomal RNA". It matches the Rfam family "Bacterial small subunit ribosomal RNA", at positions 522 to 774 of the family's 1533-position model. The record is from RNAcentral.
AAUACGUAGGGGGCGAGCGUUGUCCGAAGUUACUGGGCGUAAAGCGCGCGUAGGCGGCUCUUUAAGUCCGGCGUGAAAGGUUCAGGGCUCAACCCGAACAGUGCGCUGGAGACUGGGGAGCUUGAGGAUGGGAGAGGGAAGCGGAAUUCCGGGCGUAGCGGUGAAAUGCGUAGAUAUCCGGAGGAACACCGAUGGCGAAGGCAGCUUCCUGGCCCGUAUCUGACGCUGAGGUGCGAAAGCGUGGGGAGCGAACG